AGUGAACGCUGGCGGUAGGCCUAACACAUGCAAGUCGAACGGCAGCACAGUAAGAGCUUGCUCUUACGGGUGGCGAGUGGCGGACGGGAGAGGAAUACAUCGGAAUCUACUUUUUCGUGGGGGAUAACGUAGGGAAACUUACGCUAAUACCGCAUACGCCCUACGGGUGAAAGCAGGGGAACUUCGGACCUUGCGCGAUUGAAUGAGCCGAUGUCGGAUUAGCUAGUUGGCGGGGUAAAGGCCCACCAAGGCGACGAUCCGUAGCUGGUCUGAGAGGAUGAUCGGCCACACUAGAGCUGAGACACGGUCCAGACUCCUACGAGAGGCAGCAGUGGGGAAUAUUGGACAAUGGUCGCAAGCCUGAUCCAGCCAUACCGCGUGUGUUAAGAAGGCCUUCGGGUUGUAAAGCCGUUUUGUUGGGUAAGAAAAGCAGCAGGUUAAUACCCCGCUGGUCUGACGGUACCCAAAGAAUAAGCACCGGCUAACUUCGUG
Molecule: ribosomal RNA, 492 nt
Filed under: uncultured bacterium
Lineage: Bacteria
Description: partial 16S ribosomal RNA
Rfam family: Bacterial small subunit ribosomal RNA
Source: RNAcentral